This 253-nucleotide ribosomal RNA is filed under the name uncultured bacterium. RNAcentral describes it as "partial 16S ribosomal RNA". It matches the Rfam family "Bacterial small subunit ribosomal RNA", at positions 524 to 776 of the family's 1533-position model. The record is from RNAcentral.
UACGUAGGGUGCGAGCGUUAAUCGGAAUUACUGGGCGUAAAGCGUGCGCAGGCGGUUCGUUGUGUCGGUGGUGAAAGCCCCGGGCUUAACCUGGGAAUGGCCAUGGAAACUGGCGAACUGGAGUGUGGCAGAGGGGGGUGGAAUUCCACGUGUAGCAGUGAAAUGCGUAGAGAUGUGGAGGAACACCGAUGGCGAAGGCAGCCCCCUGGGUCAAGAUUGACGCUCAUGCACGAAAGCGUGGGGAGCAAACAGG